Molecule: ribosomal RNA, 292 nt
Filed under: uncultured bacterium
Lineage: Bacteria
Also listed under: 1 other name
Description: partial 16S ribosomal RNA
Source: RNAcentral
GGACUACAGGGGUAUCUAAUCCUGUUUGCUACCCACGCUUUCGUGCCUCAGCGUCAGAACAGGCCCAGGAGGUUGCCUUCGCCAUCGGUGUUCUUCCAGAUAUCUACGCAUUUCACCGCUACACCUGGAGUUCCGCCUCCCUCUACCGUUCUCUAGCCUGCCAGUAUCGACUGCAAUUCCCAGGUUAAGCCCAGGGCUUUCACAACCGACUUAACAAACCGCCUACGCACGCUUUACGCCCAGUAAAUCCGAUUAACGCUUGCACCCUCUGUAUUACCGCGGCGGCUGGCAC